Molecule: small RNA, 1238 nt
Filed under: Rattus norvegicus (Norway rat)
Lineage: Eukaryota; Metazoa; Chordata; Mammalia; Rodentia; Muridae
Description: uncharacterized LOC102548450
Source: RNAcentral
GGUGGUUUUCCCUGGAGAGUAUGUCUUGUGUUGGCUCUUUCCUGUUUUGGCUCCAUCAACUUCCUGUCUGCAGUCCUCUGAGCUACUCUGUUACAGCCUCCUAGCCUAAUAGAUCAAAGCCUCUGUUAAUUGAGACAGGAUCUUACUGUGUAGCCCUGGCUGUCCUGGAACUCACAGAGAGCUGCCUGCCCCUGCCUCCCGAGUGCUGGGAUUAAAGGCGUGCACCACCAGAUCCAGCAUCUGUAUUUUACUCACGUAGGUAUAUGUGGAUCACGUGCAUGAAGUGCAUCUCCUGGAACUGGAGUUCCAGGAAGUUGUGAGCUCACCAGUGUGGACCUUCAAACUCUGCAAAAGCAGCUCUUAGCCAUGGGGCCAUUGCUGCUUGGGCCCUCUUUCCUUAUCAGAUAUCUUGUCCCCACAACAGAAAAGGUGACUGACAAAGAAGAGAAGCUACCUUCAUUCCAGUGGGCGCCAAGCUCCUAGAAGAAAAGGAGGAUCCGAACUUUGCCUGGACUGAGAGGGCUCCACGCCAGGAGGCAGCCACAGUUAACUGUUGACCUUGUGCCUGGGACAAACGCCAGCUUCCAUCAGCCCUCUCUGGCUCAGUUACAACUUGGCAGCAGGUGUGGACAGGCAGCUGCCCCAGCAGUGGGAAACUGAUGCAAACUGGGCCUCCAGUGUACACCUGACCUGGCCCUGACUGCUCUUCACUUUCACUGGGCUCCAGGCCUGGGACAGCUGCCAGCAAUGGCUUCCCAGACAAGCAUGAGUAACUUGGUCUUUGUCUUAGUGUUUUCCAAGUCCAAAUGAGCUUUACAGGAAACGUUAUGAGGUUAUGUAAGCUUUGGAUCUGAGAGCUGGGCUGAAGCAUGGAUUCCUACAGGCUUAGUCUCUGCUGCCUACAUGUGUGAGGAGACCUGACUGCCCCUCCUCAGAGCUCCCUUAUGCACUUGUUUUCCCAAUGCUGGGGUCACUGUCCUAGGUUAGAGACUCGCCCUGUGGUUUGCUGAUCAUGAACAGGAGCUGUGUGCAGCUGGCACGGGCGGUGACAAAUCACCCGGUAGAUGGGUCGGGACCUUUCAAAUGAAACAUAUAAAAUGUAUCAAAAUCUAACAGUGAGGAAUCAAAGAAGGGUUCAGGUUCAAUCCACCUAACAGGCAAAGUUCAUUUGGAAACAGGCACAUAUGUGGAUUCUAUGAUCUACGCAAAUAGUAAAUGUGGCAGGCUUAAAAAACCAA